UUUGUAUUGGAACUCUCAAUCCAGGAUCAGAGGGAAGCUGUGCAACAUCAACAUCCCCAACAUCUCCACUAUUUCCAACAUCUCCAAUAUCCUCAACAUUUCCAACGUCACCAAUACCCCCAAAUCCAACAUCAACAUCUCCAACCUCUCCAAUACCCCCAACGUCUCCAACAUCCCCAACAUCUCCAACAUCAACAUCUCCAAUACCCCCAACAUCAACAUCUCGAACAUUGUUUUCAUCCCUUUUCUUUCGAACAUUCCUUUCAUCAAUAUUUUGUUCAUCACAGGAAAUCGCAGAUGUACGUUUAAAGUAUUUUUCCAUAACUGAAACAAACCAAAAAUGAAAAAUCAACAUGAUUAGAAAUGCCUAAAUCAGUUUAUACUAUGUCAUACCUAAUUUCCUACCAAAAGUCAGACAGUUUCAAAUUUUCAAUCUUCCCAAUUCCAAAUCAAUAUUAUCAAUUUACAUAUAAAUAAGUAACAAACCCAAAAUCAGAAAUUGGUCAAUUUCCUAAAUCAAAGCCCUAAAUCAGAAUUCAGAAAUCCCUAAAUUACAUUUAUU
Molecule: long non-coding RNA, 562 nt
Filed under: Olea europaea (common olive)
Lineage: Eukaryota; Viridiplantae; Streptophyta; Magnoliopsida; Lamiales; Oleaceae
Description: long non-coding RNA (OEUR_LNC009603)
Source: RNAcentral